AUACGGAGGGUGCAAGCGUUAUCCGGAAUCAUUGGGUUUAAAGGGUCCGUAGGCGGGCAAAUAAGUCAGAGGUGAAAUCCCACAGCUCAACUGUGGAACUGCCUUUGAUACUGUUUGUCUUGAGAUAUAGUGAAGUAGAUAGAAUAUGUAGUGUAGCGGUGAAAUGCAUAGAUAUUACAUAGAAUACCGAUUGCGAAGGCAGUCUACUAACUAUUGACUGACGCUAAUGGACGAAAGCGUGGGGAGCGAACAGGAUUAGAAACCCCAGUAGUCC
Molecule: ribosomal RNA, 274 nt
Filed under: uncultured bacterium
Lineage: Bacteria
Description: partial 16S ribosomal RNA
Rfam family: Bacterial small subunit ribosomal RNA
Source: RNAcentral